Long non-coding RNA from Salvia miltiorrhiza (redroot sage), 885 nucleotides. RefSeq lists it as uncharacterized. The record is from RefSeq and is a predicted model, not a curated record. Lineage: Eukaryota; Viridiplantae; Streptophyta; Magnoliopsida; Lamiales; Lamiaceae. The transcript is spliced from 2 exons.
GGGUGUAAUUGGGAAUUUUACCCGCAUCAAUAAAUCCGGAAGAUUUGAUUACUCCGCCUUUCACUCUUCCACAUCUCCACGAUUAUUGAAUUUCUGCAGACACCAUUCGUUUUGUAGAAAACUUUCUGCAGAUUAGGACAUUACGAUUACGAAGAAGGUUGAAGUUCAUCGUGUUUCUGCAGAAUCAUCCUUGUUUCGGCGCACCAACAGGGCGCCGCCCCCUUUCUCAUGCCGGCGCCGCCUCCCCUUGCCGCCACAGUCAACACCACGACCACCGACUUCGCCCCACCCGCCUCUCUCUCAAACCAUAAUUCUCAAAAUUUUCUCUGACUCCAUCUCAUUCGAUCAUAGGCAACGAUGUCUCCAUCGCCGAUGCGCCGCCGCCUUCGCUUGGACCUCCUUUGUCCACGACUGAACAGCAGCGGCGGAGCAUAGGGAAGCUUCAGCCCUUGUGCUCCUAUAUCGUAAUUUAUGAUCAGCAACAGCGGAAAGAUCUGAUUUUUAUUAAAGAGCCAGAAGGCUUGUUCGUAGGUUGUGGAGCUCGACUUUCUUUAUCCCAGUGAAGGAAUACAUCGCAGAUGGGAAAAUGGUUACAGAACUACUUCCAUGGCUGCAACUGCUGAUCAAGCGGCCUUUACGCUGACUAUACCUAGACGCAAAGUAAUAGUUGAAGGAAUUGAAGCUAAAAAAGAUGACUGAUUUGUAUUCUAUUCAUUUAUUAAGGAUUUGUGUUCUAUAUUAUUUCACACUUAUUUGUUUUAUGCCAUAGUAAUCAAAAUCAAUGUUUGAUGAACUUGUUGUUCAAAGUUUCUAGUUAAACAUUCGAUAAGUUGUUAUUAUCUAUUCUUUAUUAAUUUAUACUAGUAUACACUCUUUUGAAUGGCA